AUAAAAAAAGUCACUAGGUAGAUACAGAACUGAGCUUCGCAUGAACAAAAAGUUUUAAAAAAGUGUUAUUAACAUCGAAGUUAUAAUGUUCCAGACAUUGCUGACAAAGCCAUGAUUACAAACAUUCAUUUAAUCUCAACAACCUUUUUAGAAGGUAGAGCAUAAUAUGGACAACGGACCUUACUUUAUACUGUUGAGUUAUUGUAUAUAUUAAAACUCUUUGUAACUUAGUAUAGGCAAUUAAAGUUCAAUGCUUUAAAAGCUGAUCAUUCAGAUUUAAAUAUUCGAGUAUGACGUUCUUUUCCCGCGUGUGACAACAAACACUGUACCAUCCU
This 335-nucleotide long non-coding RNA is filed under the name Mytilus galloprovincialis (Mediterranean mussel). The record is from RNAcentral. Lineage: Eukaryota; Metazoa; Mollusca; Bivalvia; Mytilida; Mytilidae.